AAAUAAUGACCACUCCCCAAGAGGUGUCAGGGCGUCCUUUACCCAGUGAGGUGAAGGGAAUUCAGGGCUGUUUUUAUGAAAAUGAACCUAGACUUAUCCCCAACUCUCUCUUCCCCGACACCAGGCCCCAGUCAGCACCUGGCUGGGGACAGAACACGGUGGGGCGGUCAUCCUGGGGCUUGCCCCACUUUGUGCUGCCAGGAAACUCCAGCUGGCUCCCAUCAGCUAUACGCUGGUGGCUGGCAAGAUAGAAGGAAGCAAGCUGUAGAUAGUCCGCCAGUUACCAGGCUUGAAGUAGAGGCUAAGGGAAACCAGCUGGUACUGGGUUAGAGACAAUUGUUUGCCAUCUUAUAAGCAAGUGUUGGGGGUGGGGUGGGCAGAUUAUUUCUUAACAGAUUGAAAAACAGGGCAUGCAUGGUAUUUCGGUCCUCCUUUGGCCUUGCUGAUGGUUCUUGAGGACUGGUUGACCUGGUUCUUUUAAGGGGACUUUGAAAUGUAGAUAAGGACACAGUAGUGGAACAGAUGGAUGCCCUUCCUACCCGUUGCCUACCCAUUAUUCUUGAUGCCAUCUUUUGUUUAUGAACUGUGAGGCCUAUAACAAAUGUCUUUAGGGAAAAUAAAUGGAGCCAGGAGACUCCUCACUAAGGCCUUAGCAAGACACACCACAGUCCAGACGGGGCUUCUGCUUGGGAUUUCUAAAUGGUAUGAAUCUGAGAAGGAAAACAAAGUUAUCGCUGUUCCCAUGAGCCUUCAUAUCAGAGAUGUUUAUGUCCUGGGUCUGCACACAGAGAGAUGUGGUCAUUUUUUCCCACCAACAUGAGGGCGUCAGGUGGCCUUGGUUUGCUCUCACAUUUCCUCCCUUUUAUUUUUCUAGAAAGAAAAUGAUGACAAUUAAUCACCUCCCAAUUUCUGGGCACUGUACUAGGCAUAUUUUCCAAAGUUGUCUCCCUUCAUUUGCAUUAAAACAUUUCAGGAGAGAUGAUUAUUCCUUUUAUAUACAUGAGAAGAUGGAGAUUUGGAAAAGUAGAAUAAAUUUACUGAGCCCUCUCAGCUAAGAGACUGAGUCAGAAUUUGAGCCCAAGGUGUCUGGCUCCUAACCUUGUGUGUUCUUCCUAUCCAGGGUCCACGGAGAACAAGAAUGCUGGAACAAAUUACAGGGUGACUCGACUGUAUUGCUUAACAGUAGUUAGGCAUGCUGAGGUAUGUCUCCUCCAAGUGGAAGACUCAUUUUGCUUCCUGGAUCUCUGAAGACAGAUGUUCGGAUGAAGAUAGGAUACAGUGACUAAUAAGCACCGUGUGGCUCUGAGAUCAUCGAGAAAGACACUGACAAUCGGCAGCGUGGGAAGUGAGACUUCAGUGCUCUUGAAAGGCCUCUGAUGGGCGUGGUGAGAAGUGACAAGGUCUUGGUGGUUGAAAAUGAGGGAACAGAGUGGAUUCAAGGAAGAAUUGAGAGACUGAAUCAACAAGAUGAUGACUGCUUGAUGGGAGAUGAUGAGGGAAAGGAAGAAUGACUUAGAAGUCACCAGCCUGCACAGCUAAGGAAUGAAGGAUCCAUUAACCAUGGAUGCUGGCUAGCUCUGUGGGAGUUAGUCACCAUGUAGGAAGUCUGGCCCCCCAGAGCCCACCUGCUGGAGAGGCCAUGCGUGAACAAUGCCAGAGACGGCCCAAGCUGUGCUCCCAGCCGACCACCCAGCACCAACUGCCAGCCACAGAAGUGAGCCAACAUGACAUCUGGCCCCGUCACGCCUUCAGAUGACCACAGUCCCAGCCAGCAUCUAACUCCAGCGGGGUGAGAGAUCCCAAUUUCCUGACUCAUAAAAUCACAAGCAAAACCACUAUGUUUUGGGAUUAAUUUGUUAUACAGCAAUAGUAACUGAAAUACUGAUCAAAUAUAAGAACCAAAAUUAAGGAUAUGCAGAACAAUAAAAUUGCUUUGCACUUUUUUGAACACAUGAGUAUUUUAUCUGAAAAAGUCAUUAAUCUCUUUGGAUA
This is a non-coding RNA of Manis javanica (Malayan pangolin), 1992 nucleotides long. NCBI's taxonomy places the organism in Eukaryota, Metazoa, Chordata, Mammalia, Pholidota, Manidae. The record is from RefSeq and is a predicted model, not a curated record.